GACGAACGCUGGCGGCGUGCUUAACACAUGCAAGUCGAACGGAAAGGCCCUGCUUUUGUGGGGUGCUCGAGUGGCGAACGGGUGAGUAACACGUGAGUAACCUGCCCUUGACUUUGGGAUAACUUCAGGAAACUGGGGCUAAUACCGGAUAGGAGCUCCUGCUGCAUGGUGGGGGUUGGAAAGUUUCGGCGGUUGGGGAUGGACUCGCGGCUUAUCAGCUUGUUGGUGGGGUAGUGGCUUACCAUGGCUUUGACGGGUAGCCGGCCUGAGAGGGUGACCGGCCACAUUGGGAAUGAGAUACGGCCCAGACUCCUACGGGAGGCAGCAGUGGGGAAUAUUGCACAAUGGGCGGAAGCCUGAUGCAGCAACGCCGCGUGCGGGAUGACGGCCUUCGGGUUGUAAACCGCUUUCGCCUGUGACGAAGCGUGAGUGACGGUAAUGGGGAAAGAAGCACCGGCUAACUACGU
Molecule: ribosomal RNA, 467 nt
Filed under: uncultured bacterium
Lineage: Bacteria
Description: partial 16S ribosomal RNA
Rfam family: Bacterial small subunit ribosomal RNA
Source: RNAcentral